RNAcentral lists this small RNA (140 nucleotides) under Lysinibacillus sphaericus. RNAcentral describes it as "c-di-AMP sequence". It matches the Rfam family "c-di-AMP riboswitch aptamer (ydaO/yuaA leader)". From Rfam's summary of the family: This family represents a conserved RNA structure found upstream of the ydaO and yuaA genes in Bacillus subtilis and related genes in other bacteria. The record is from RNAcentral. Lineage: Bacteria; Bacillati; Bacillota; Bacilli; Caryophanales; Bacillaceae.
AUUUCAUAUCGGCCUAAUCUCAGUAUUGGGAACGGAGGAACCAUUUUUUGGGGGUUAAUUCUGCAAAUUGUAGAAGGGAUGAGAAACUCUUUCGCCAUCCUACCCGUCAGCUAACUUCGUCGGCUAAAGCGAAGGAGGUC